GGGCGUCUGGUCCAAUGGUAAGAUCCGUACGAGCAUCUUGCGCUCGUACGGGAUCCGGGUUCGAUCCCCGGGAUGUCCA
Molecule: transfer RNA, 79 nt
Filed under: Pseudocercospora fijiensis CIRAD86
Lineage: Eukaryota; Fungi; Ascomycota; Dothideomycetes; Mycosphaerellales; Mycosphaerellaceae
Description: tRNA-Lys (CTT) (tRNA-Lys-CTT-2-1)
Source: RNAcentral